This 546-nucleotide long non-coding RNA is filed under the name Zostera marina. RNAcentral's name for it is "long non-coding RNA (ZMAR_LNC005383)". Lineage: Eukaryota; Viridiplantae; Streptophyta; Magnoliopsida; Alismatales; Zosteraceae. The record is from RNAcentral.
CAACAACACCGGUACCAUUGCUGACUUGCUGAAGAGCGCGAACGCGAUGCGAGACUUCUGAGACCAGUUGGGACAAACGAGAAUUACCCACAGUAAAAUCUUCAAUAUCACAGAGGUGUUGAAGAAGAUCAUCUGGCCAAAUACCUUGCUGACGUGCCAACUCGUAGCCCAGCUCCUGCAACAAAUCAUCAAGAGAAGACAUGAUAAAAGGAGGAGAAAAUGAACCAAAUAAAGAAAAGUAGCCUAUUUAUAGGAAGAGGGGGGGGAGUACUGAUGGUACCCCCAAGUUACCAACCCAGGCCCACGAAGAAGCCCCGGUCCAGUAAGACACAGCGGAAAGCCCAGAUCAUUCCAAAGACGUUAAACUGUUUGAAUGGUCCGGACGGCUCCAUAAGCCCUACGAACAUUUGGCCGACCGGCUUAAAAGACCCAUUAACUCGAGCAGUUGACACCCCAAAGAAGGCGUCCCAAGUAUAUCGGAUCCAUCAGGUCGAUUCGUGUUAGGAAGUUGUAUAAAUACCCCUAGGGGUGAAGUGUAAAAGGGGG